CCUACGGGAGGCAGCAGUGAGGAAUAUUGGUCAAUGGACGAGAGUCUGAACCAGCCAAGUCGCGUGAAGGAAGACUGCCCUAUGGGUUGUAAACUUCUUUUAUCUGGGAAUAAAACAGGGUACGCAUACCCUCUUGUAUGUACCAUAUGAAUAAGGAUCGGCUAACUCCGUGCCAGCAGCCGCGGUAAUACGGAGGAUGCGAGCGUUAUCCGGAUUUAUUGGGUUUAAAGGGUGCGUAGGCGGAAUGCCAAGUCAGCGGUAAAAUUGCGGGGCUCAACCGCGCUGCGCCGUUGAAACUGGCGUUCUUGAGUGGGCGAGAAGUAUGCGGAAUGCGCGGUGUAGCGGUGAAAUGCAUAGAUAUCGCGCAGAACUCCGAUUGCGAAGGCAGCGUACCGGCGCCCAACUGACGCUGAAGCACGAAAGCGUGGGGAUCGAACAGGAUUAGAUACCCGGGUAGUC
Molecule: ribosomal RNA, 459 nt
Filed under: uncultured bacterium
Lineage: Bacteria
Description: partial 16S ribosomal RNA
Rfam family: Bacterial small subunit ribosomal RNA
Source: RNAcentral